UACGGGGGGGGCGAGCGUUGUUCGGAAUUACUGGGCGGAAAGGGUUUGUAGGUGGCCUGCUAAGUCAGACGUGAAAUCCCUCAGCUUAACUGGGGAACUGCGUCCGAUACUGGCGGGCUUGAGGACAGGAGAGGAACGCGGAAUUCCAGGUGUAGCGGUGAAAUGCGUAGAUAUCUGGAGGAACACCGGUGGCGAAGGCGGCGUUCUGGACUGUUUCUGACACUGAAAAACGAAAGCCAGGGGAGCAAACGGG
RNAcentral lists this ribosomal RNA (253 nucleotides) under uncultured bacterium. Its description in RNAcentral is "partial 16S ribosomal RNA". It matches the Rfam family "Bacterial small subunit ribosomal RNA", at positions 524 to 776 of the family's 1533-position model. The record is from RNAcentral.